CCCCCGGGGAUGUCGUCUUUUACCAAAUAAAAAGUUUCCUCUGCGGGAGGGUCCGGUUAAGCGCUGGCAAACAUUAACCUGAGCGAGCAGCAAGAUGCGGGGAUGGAAGGGGGGGGAUGGGGGGGAGGAACGGCAACCUUGGCUCCAAUGAGAGCGUCCCACACCUACUUGGCGGGGGGGAGGAGGGGGCAUCCCAACCGGAACGAUUUUCCCGGCAGGAUCACGGGCCCCAACGGCGACUCCCGGUGUGGAAGAAGGAGCCCCUCUUUCCCACCGGGGGGGAGGGAAUUGAGGCCCCAGCGGCCGUUGGCCAGCUGCACCCCAACGGGCUCGGGGAGGGGGGAGGAAGAGUCACAAAAUGCCGGCCUCUGGCUCCAAAAUUAGCAAGCAUUCGACUUACCAGGGUGGAGGCUCUUCCACCUUAGCAACCCCAGCGUGGUCCCGGCCCCCCCACGUGUCUCUUCUUACUCUCCCCCCCACCCCCGAGGGCCGGGGGGGUAAACAGGUCACUCCACGUCCGGACACGGCAUUUCCGACUCUCGUCCGCCCCCCGCUUUCCUUUUCUUUUUUUUUUUCCACCUCCCCCACCGUGUCGGGCUGGCUCCGGGGACGACAGGCUCCCGAUCCUGCCUCCGGUCCCCGCCGUCGGCCACUUGGAGAGAGGAGGAGGAGGAGGAAGCGGAGCAGGGAGAGCCGCGCCUUCGCUCCUCCCGGACCCCGGAGGCCCGAGCGAGGCGGGGUCGAGGACGGGCGUCCCGUCCGUGGCGACGCGGCCCCGGAGGCCGGAGGGGGCGGGUAAUGGAGGCGCGGGGAGGGGACGGCGAGGCCCGGAGGGAGCGGGGGGCCAAGCGGGAAGUGUCUCCCCCGAGCCCGGGCCCGCCCCCGCCCCCGGGACACGGGGGAGCGGAAACCCGAGGGACACUCACUUUCUCCGCGCUCUCCGGCACGUCGUCGGCGCCUCUCGAGCGGCGGCGGCAGCGGAGGAGGCUGAAGAAGGAGGCGGCGGCGGCUGUGGCGGCGGCUGCGUCCGGCUCCGCUUACCUCCCCGCCGCCAUCUUGGCGCCCCUCCCCCCGCCAGGCGGAGGAGGGGGGGGGAGGAGCAGGCGGCGCGCGCACCCGGCACGCGCGCCGCGUCACGUGACCUCCCCCUCUCUCUCCUCCUCCCCCGCCCCUCCCCAAGAGGGGAGGGCCGACCCCCACCGCCAUUCCCCCCCCCCACCUUCUCCUCAGGCCUGAAACCGGCAGGAGGAUGGGAGCGAGCUCCGGAAAAAAGACGAGUCCAUCACCUGAGGGUCCGGCGGAGGGUGGUUCAACUUCAAAUGAUUGAAAGGCGUUUGAAGAGGAUUCUUGAUAUGCUGCAAGCCCCUGGAACACAUGUGAAGUCACAGGCAUCUCCAUGUCAUUCUCAUGGAUCCUCUGUGUCCACCCUAUUAGUAAGUGAAACGGACAUUGCAAGUGUUUGA
This 1463-nucleotide long non-coding RNA is filed under the name Ornithorhynchus anatinus (platypus). RNAcentral describes it as "lncRNA (ENSOANG00000046284.1)". Lineage: Eukaryota; Metazoa; Chordata; Mammalia; Monotremata; Ornithorhynchidae. The record is from RNAcentral.